GAGUUCUACCGUUGGUCGGGCAAUAGUCUGUACUGGCGUGUAGAAUUUCUACCUUCUGGGGAACCAUCAUGUUAUUUAUUUAGCGUGGUGGGAAACCAGGACCUUUACCUUGAAAAAAUUAGAGUGUUCAAAGCAGGCUUACGUCUGAAUACAUUAGCAUGGAAUAAUAAAAUAGGACGGUGGUCCUGUUUUGUUGGUUUCUGAAUCACCGUA
This 213-nucleotide ribosomal RNA is filed under the name uncultured Gigaspora. RNAcentral describes it as "partial small subunit ribosomal RNA". The stretch from base 39 to 213 matches the Rfam family "Eukaryotic small subunit ribosomal RNA", at positions 686 to 863 of the family's 1831-position model. Lineage: Eukaryota; Fungi; Glomeromycota; Glomeromycetes; Diversisporales; Gigasporaceae. The record is from RNAcentral.